AAUUACUGUGAGCGGCUUCCACUUGUGGGUUGCUCCCUCAUCUGGAACAUCUUGACGUCAGGCGUGCUGCAUCAGUCAUAGACGUUGGACCUGAAUUUUUGAUCGGCGGCAGAGCAGGAGUAGAUCCUUUCAAGUAUGCAUUUCCCAAGCUGGAGACGUUGUGCUUUAAUUAUAUGCGGCAUUGGCAGGAAUGGCAUUGGGAUAAAGGAACACAAGGAAUGUCGUGUCUAAAAGACCUGUACCUUUCUGACUGCCCCAAGUUGAAGUCUCUUCCCGAGGGUCUCCUGCUCCACGACAAAAUUGGAUAUCAGUGUUGCGCACAGCCUAACGACAAUUGAAAAGCUCCUUUCGCUCAAAGAAUUGUAUAUAAUUAACAAUCCCAAGCUGGAGAAAGUUUCAGACCUCCCUGCACUCACAACCCUCCAUGUUGUGUACUGCUCGAAAUUGCAAGUGGUGGAGAAUCUUCAAUCCUUGAGAAGGAUGUAUCUGAUCGAUUACCAAAUGAAAUCUCUCCCGUCAUACUUUCUGAAAAGAGUACAUACAGCUCAUCUGGAGAAGCUGGAGAUCCGGUGCAGCAAGAACUGGUAAGAAAUAUUUGCCAAAGGACCAGCCCGGAGUGGCCAACAAUCCAAGGCAUCCAGCAGGUGAAUGUAUACUCACCGGAUAGAUCGGUGCAUGCCUUCUAUAACAAGUCCCCCUUCAGUUUCACUACAAAUUUCAACAGCACCACCACCAGCAGCAGCAGUUUUGAGAUGCCCUCAAGUAGCAGCGGCACUGCUCUCUAAUCUGUGCCUCCUCCGCACUCCCUUUCAACCAUGGUUUCUGUUUUUUAAAGAUAUAACGAAGACUUGAUUGCAUGCGAUCCACUUAUCUAUGUAUAUAUCUCUCGCCCAAUGGUGCAGAACUUUAGAAGAACAAUGGUCGUUUAUGUUGCUAUCUACAAGUCCAGAGUGAUACAGAACUAUGGCUUAUUGUGCCAUUUUGAUGCUUAAUCCUGAAGCUUGCACAUAUGAUCUUGUUUCUUUGCCUGUGAUCAGGUUCUGGAAAAUGAAAAGCAGGAAUGGCAUCUCGUUAAAGCUAUGUAGGAAUUCAACUUCCUAAAGAAGAAGUUUAUGGGAUGAGAAGAAUGGGAACUGGGGAAGCUGUGAAUCUAUGACUUUCCGGAAAGCUUAAAUUGUCCUAGCUCAUGCUUCUUUGAAGGACUAAAUAAAAAGUUAUUCAUGGAAUAGCAUUUUGUCAGCUCUUAUAUUUUAUGAUCUGCAAUGCCUUUGCUGCUCUUCUCAUGUAAGUUUUAACAAUGGAUGACAGCUCUAAAAUUUUGACUCUGUCUUCAUCCAUUGAUCAAUGGACGAUUAAUAUUUCA
Phoenix dactylifera (date palm) is the source of this 1363-nucleotide non-coding RNA. Lineage: Eukaryota; Viridiplantae; Streptophyta; Magnoliopsida; Arecales; Arecaceae. The record is from RefSeq and is a predicted model, not a curated record.